RNAcentral lists this ribosomal RNA (492 nucleotides) under uncultured bacterium. RNAcentral describes it as "partial 16S ribosomal RNA". It matches the Rfam family "Bacterial small subunit ribosomal RNA", at positions 29 to 507 of the family's 1533-position model. The record is from RNAcentral.
AGUGAACGCUGGCGGUAGGCCUAACACAUGCAAGUCGAACGGCAGCACAGUAAGAGCUUGCUCUUACGGGUGGCGAGUGGCGGACGGGUGAGGAAUACAUCGGAAUCUACUCUUUCGUGGGGGAUAACGUAGGGAAACUUACGCUAAUACCGCAUACGACCUACGGGUGAAAGCAGGGGAUCUUCGGACCUUGCGCGAUUGAAUGAGCCGAUGUCGGAUUAGCUAGUUGGCGGGGUAAAGGCCCACCAAGGCGACGAUCCGUAGCUGGUCUGAGAGGAUGAUCGGCCACACUGGAACUGGGACACGGUCCAGACUCCUACGGGAGGCAGCAGUGGGGAAUAUUGGACAAUGGGCGCAAGCCUGAUCCAGCCAUACCGCGUGGGUGAAGAAGGCCUUCGGGUUGUAAAGCCCUUUUGUUGGGAAAGAAAAGCAGCAGGUUAAUACCCCGCUGUUCUGACGGUACCCAAAGAAUAAGCACCGGCUAACUUCGUG